CAAACAUGGGAAGUUCUAGAAGGCUCUUGAGUAACUUUUAUGACCUACAUGCAAGCCAGAAGUAUUUAAUGUGAAUUGAAUGGAUAGGAAUAGAGAUAUCUUUCAGAGCAGUGGAUGAAAUCUUCUCAAGUCAAUCCAUACAGAGAUGGAGAAACUAAAAGGUUACCUAAUGAAAACUGACUCCAUCCAGCUACUCUCAGGAGAAAGGCAAUUCUUCUUAUGAGGAGGACAAGAUGUACCAUGAGGAAAUAUCAUGAAAAAUAACCCACUCCUGGCCCCAAUAGCUCCAGAAGCUACAUUUGAAAACAAAAAUAUGUUUAUUUUUUUAAUGUAAAUAGUCAAGCUAUAUGUUUUAAUCUUCUCUGCAAUGUCGUUAUUUUAGAAAAGAUUGAGCUAUACCCUUUAGAAAAUAGCACC
This is a long non-coding RNA of Canis lupus familiaris (dog), 417 nucleotides long. RefSeq lists it as uncharacterized. Lineage: Eukaryota; Metazoa; Chordata; Mammalia; Carnivora; Canidae. The record is from RefSeq and is a predicted model, not a curated record. The transcript is spliced from 5 exons.